This 1381-nucleotide ribosomal RNA is filed under the name Lactiplantibacillus plantarum. RNAcentral describes it as "bacterial SSU rRNA". It matches the Rfam family "Bacterial small subunit ribosomal RNA", at positions 65 to 1427 of the family's 1533-position model. The record is from RNAcentral. Lineage: Bacteria; Bacillati; Bacillota; Bacilli; Lactobacillales; Lactobacillaceae.
AGCUUGCAUCAUGAUUUACAUUUGAGUGAGUGGCGAACUGGUGAGUAACACGUGGGAAACCUGCCCAGAAGCGGGGGAUAACACCUGGAAACAGAUGCUAAUACCGCAUAACAACUUGGACCGCAUGGUCCGAGUUUGAAAGAUGGCUUCGGCUAUCACUUUUGGAUGGUCCCGCGGCGUAUUAGCUAGAUGGUGGGGUAACGGCUCACCAUGGCAAUGAUACGUAGCCGACCUGAGAGGGUAAUCGGCCACAUUGGGACUGAGACACGGCCCAAACUCCUACGGGAGGCAGCCAGUAGGGAAUCUUUCCACAAAUGGACGAAAGUCUCGAUGGAGCAACCCCCGCGUGAAUGAAGAAAGGGUUUCGGCUCGUAAAACUCCCGUUGUUAAAGAAGAACAUAUCUGAGAGUAACUGUUCAGGUAUUGACGGUAUUUAACCAGAAAGCCACGGCUAACUACGUGCCAGCAGCCGCGGUAAUACGUAGGUGGCAAGCGUUGUCCGGAUUUAUUGGGCGUAAAGCGAGCGCAGGCGGUUUUUUAAGUCUGAUGUGAAAGCCUUCGGCUCAACCGAAGAAGUGCAUCGGAAACUGGGAAACUUGAGUGCAGAAAAGGACAGUGGAACUCCAUGUGUAGCGGUGAAAUGCGUAGAUAUAUGGAAGAACACCAGUGGCGAAGGCGGCUGUCUGGUCUGUAACUGACGCUGAGGCUCGAAAGUAUGGGUAGCAAACAGGAUUAGAUACCCUGGUAGUCCAUACCGUAAACGAUGAAUGCUAAGUGUUGGAGGGUUUCCGCCCUUCAGUGCUGCAGCUAACGCAUUAAGCAUUCCGCCUGGGGAGUACGGCCGCAAGGCUGAAACUCAAAGGAAUUGACGGGGGCCCGCACAAGCGGUGGAGCAUGUGGUUUAAUUCGAAGCUACGCGAAGAACCUUACCAGGUCUUGACAUACUAUGCAAAUCUAAGAGAUUAGACGUUCCCUUCGGGGACAUGGAUACAGGUGGUGCAUGGUUGUCGUCAGCUCGUGUCGUGAGAUGUUGGGUUAAGUCCCGCAACGAGCGCAACCCUUAUUAUCAGUUGCCAGCAUUAAGUUGGGCACUCUGGUGAGACUGCCGGUGACAAACCGGAGGAAGGUGGGGAUGACGUCAAAUCAUCAUGCCCCUUAUGACCUGGGCUACACACGUGCUACAAUGGAUGGUACAACGAGUUGCGAACUCGCGAGAGUAAGCUAAUCUCUUAAAGCCAUUCUCAGUUCGGAUUGUAGGCUGCAACUCGCCUACAUGAAGUCGGAAUCGCUAGUAAUCGCGGAUCAGCAUGCCGCGGUGAAUACGUUCCCGGGCCUUGUACACUCCGCCCUUCACACCAUGAGAGUUUGAACACCCAAUUUU